This 305-nucleotide ribosomal RNA is filed under the name uncultured bacterium. Its description in RNAcentral is "bacterial SSU rRNA". It matches the Rfam family "Bacterial small subunit ribosomal RNA", at positions 335 to 658 of the family's 1533-position model. The record is from RNAcentral.
AUGCCUACGGGACGCAGCAGUGGGGAAUAUUGCACAAUGGGGGAAACCCUGAUGCAGCGACGCCGCGUGAGCGAUGAAGUAUCUCGGUAUGUAAAGCUCUAUCAGCAGGGAAGAAAGUGACAGUACCUGACUAAGAAGCCCCGGCUAACUACGUGCCAGCAGCCGCGGUAAUACGUAGGGGGCAAGCGUUAUCCGGAUUCACUGGGCGUAAAGGGAGCGCAGGCGGCCUGCUAAGUCUGGAGUGAAAGGUACCGGCUCAACCGGUACAGGCUCUGGAAACUGGCGGGCUAGAGAGCAGGAGAGGG